CGCAGCGUGGAGAUGGAGAAACGCCGCAGCUGCUUGGCGCGCUCCCCGUUGCUGAACGCCACGCCUGGGGAGAUUGACAUCUCUGGCAUAGUCAGCAAGAUGCAGAGCGACCUUCCUCAGCAUCCCAGUGCUCUCUUGGACUUAUGCAAGGUACCUGCUCAGAAAAUUAAUUGGUCUGUUAUAUAAUCUUGUGGGCAAAUGAAGGAUGAGCCAGUUUCCCACCUCAGUCUACUUACUGAAAGAUGCUGAGCACUACUGGAACUCAACAGACCCUCCAUAAGAUGUGGAACCUGCAAGAAAAGUUCAUUCUCCAAACUCACUACACUACCUGCUGUGGAUUGAUCAAAUUGUGUCCCCAAAG
Molecule: long non-coding RNA, 361 nt
Organism: Galeopterus variegatus (Sunda flying lemur)
Lineage: Eukaryota; Metazoa; Chordata; Mammalia; Dermoptera; Cynocephalidae
Exons: 3
Source: RefSeq, a predicted model, not a curated record